UCCAGCAAGUUUAAAUACAACAAUAUAAGGAUAUAUCAUGAUUGAAGAGUAUGAAUAAUAAGCUGGCUAUAAUUCAUCAAUAUAAUUGAGAACUAGCAGGAACAAACUUUUGACUGAACAAGUUUUAAACAUGAACAAACAUUUCUGAACCAACUCGUAAUGAAGGUGAUCAACCUUUCAUACCUGACUUAUACAUGCAAGAUGUACAAAGUACAAUUUUUAUGGCAAUCAGCAAUGAUUAACCAUAAGCUUGAAUAAAACACUCUUAUUAGAGUUAAGUAAGAACAAACUUGCCUGAACCGUUG
This 305-nucleotide long non-coding RNA is filed under the name Panax ginseng (ginseng). RNAcentral describes it as "long non-coding RNA (PGIN_LNC003128)". Lineage: Eukaryota; Viridiplantae; Streptophyta; Magnoliopsida; Apiales; Araliaceae. The record is from RNAcentral.